Long non-coding RNA from Nicotiana tabacum (common tobacco), 1285 nucleotides. RefSeq lists it as uncharacterized. NCBI's taxonomy places the organism in Eukaryota, Viridiplantae, Streptophyta, Magnoliopsida, Solanales, Solanaceae. The record is from RefSeq and is a predicted model, not a curated record.
GUGCACGUUAGAAAUAGGCUCACAAAUACUGAUCAGCAUAUGGAGAAAGAUUCCCUCAACAAUGCAUGACUCACGUCCUUAUCCACAAGGCACCUUCUGAGAAUUUGCUCUCCAAUUCACACUCUUAAGCACUCUCACUCCUCCUAUAUAAACACACACAAAAAAAGGGGACACAUUGAGAGGGGACGGGCAAAAAAGGAAGCUUUCUUCUUCUUCCUCACAAUUACAUCAAAUAAAACUUCAAAUCCCUCACCAAACUCCAGUGAAAAUAAGUCCAAAAGGCAGCAAAAACCUGCUGCAAAUAGCCCCUAAAAAUACAGCACCUUUACUCCCACAAAACGCUAUGAAAAUCAUCAUCAAACAACCAUAACUGCUGCCCCAAAAAUAGCCCUUAAAGCUCCAUGAGAACGCAGCAAAAUCAGCACCAUUAAAGCACCAAAAUGACCUCAAAUCGGCCGCCGAACCAGCUACAAAACCAGCACCAAACAGUCCCCAAAACACCAUGUAAAGCAGCCAUUAACCACCCCAAACUCCUGCUGAAAUUCAGCUCCAAACCCAGCUGAAAAACAGCCCUUCGAAACCAGCAAAGCAGCUGCGAAAAUGACUCCAUAACACAACCAUGAAACUCCUCAAAAUUCCACCUGAAACCAACGUGAAAAUCAGCUGGGAAAACUCAGCUGAAAUCUGCCAUUGAAAUGCACCAAAAUCAGCCUCCGAAACACCUCAAAUCCACCCCAAAACGCAGCCAUUAAAGCUGCUCAAAACCACUCAAAAACGAGCAAAAAGGGACCUGAAACAGUAGCUCAAAUCGCUGCUAAUUCUACCAUGAAACAGUACCAAAAUACUACCAGAAUUCCAGCCGAACAAUCCUUGGAACACAAGUUUUAAGUCGAGUUUGAGGUUGCGGAUGAGGUCGUGGUUCGUUAGCUCCGGUCGAGUCCAUCUGAAAUUCAGUAUAUCGGAGAGUUUGUAAAAGACUAGGUUUGGAGGCUCUUUGUUCUGUUUGUUCAGAUUCGUCUGAGGUGCAUCUGCUCGUGCCGGUCGUUAGAGAUUACCUACUAGCUUCCUUUUUUGGAGACUUCAAGGUAUGCCUGCUCGCCAUCCGCAGGCCUCAGAGUCACCUUCCCUUAUUCUCAGUUACUGCUGUAUUUUCUCUCAAACAAUGAUGUAUCAGAUAUUUUAGUUUAUUCAAUAGUGCUUAUGACUCUGUUCCACAGUUCUUAGGGAUUGUAUGGUUGAGAUUUUGCUUUUCAGAAGUUUUAUGAGUUUAUCAAACUGGGUUUAA